Molecule: ribosomal RNA, 253 nt
Filed under: uncultured bacterium
Lineage: Bacteria
Description: partial 16S ribosomal RNA
Rfam family: Bacterial small subunit ribosomal RNA
Source: RNAcentral
UACGUAGGGUGCGAGCGUUAAUCGGAAUUACUGGGCGUAAAGCGUGCGCAGGCGGCGCGUUAAGACAGGUGUGAAAGCCCCGAGCUUAACUUGGGAAUUGCGCUUGUGACUGGCGUGCUGGAGUGUGGCAGAGGGAGGUGGAAUUCCACGUGUAGCAGUGAAAUGCGUAGAGAUGUGGAGGAACACCGAUGGCGAAGGCAACCUCCUGGGCCAGCACUGACGCUCAUGCACGAAAGCGUGGGGAGCAAACAGG